Molecule: ribosomal RNA, 1311 nt
Filed under: Megaporus rufipes
Lineage: Eukaryota; Metazoa; Arthropoda; Insecta; Coleoptera; Dytiscidae
Description: 16S ribosomal RNA
Rfam family: Archaeal large subunit ribosomal RNA (bases 1068-1226)
Source: RNAcentral
AAAUAAAUUAUUAUUGGGUUUAUUUUUUAAUUGGUUUUAAUAAAAAUAAUUUUAAUUUUAUUUAUUUUUAGUAUAUAUUAUAGAAAAAAUUUUAUAUAAUUAUAGUUUAAUAGUAUUGUAAAAGAAGUAUGAAAUAAGGAUUAUUUUAGAAUAAAAGUAAAAUUAAUUUUUUGUACCUUGUGUAUCAGGGUUUAUUAAAUAAAUAUUAUGUAUUUUAAUUUUCCCGAAUUCAAUAGAGUUAAUAAAUAAUUUUUUUUAUUGUAAAAAAAAUAUUUAUAAUUAUUUAUUAGUAAUGAAAAGUUAUUCGUUUUUGAAGAUAUCUGGUUUAUUUAGAAAUAAGUUUAAUUUAGUUAUUUAAAUUUUAUUUUAUUUUUUGUUAAAAUAAAGUAAAUUUAAUUAAUAAAAGUUAAAGGGAUAAGCUUUUAACUUAAAUUUUAAAAUUUAAUUGUGAAUUAAAAGAAAGUAGGUUUAGAAAUAUUCAUCAAUUUUAGUUUGUUAUGAUUAAUUUUUAUUUAAUUAAUAUUUUGAUUUAAAUUUAGAAUUUUAUAAAUAAAAAAUAUUUAAUAAUGGAAUUUUGUAUAUAAUGAUAAAAUUAGUAUAUUAAAUUUAUUUAUAUAAAAGUUUUUAAUAGAUUAUUUAAAGGAAUUCAGCAAAUAUUAUAUUCGCCUGUUUAACAAAAACAUGUCUUUUAGAGUUAGAAUUUAAAGUCUAGCCUGCCCACUGAAAAUUUAAAUGGCCGCAGUAAUUUGACUGUGCAAAGGUAGCAUAAUCAUUAGUUUUUUAAUUAGAAGCUAGAAUGAAUGGUUGGACGAGAUAUAAUCUGUCUUUGGAUAAAAAAUAGAAUUUAAUUUUUAAGUUAAAAAGCUUAAAUGGUAAUAAAAGACGAGAAGACCCUAUAGAUUUUUAUAUUAUUAUUUUUAUUAUAGAUUAGGAUUAUUUUAUUUAUUAUAUUUAAUUAUAUUUUAUUGGGGUAAUAAGGAGAUUAAAUUAAUUCUCUUACAUAUUUUACAAUAAUGUUUGAUUUAUUUGAUCCUUUAUUAUAGAUUAAAAGAUUAAGUUACCUUAGGGAUAACAGCGUAAUUUUUUUGAAGAGUUCAUAUCGAUAAAAAAGUUUGCGACCUCGAUGUUGGAUUAAAAAUUAUUCUAGGAGUAGAAGUUUAGAGUUUUGGUCUGUUCGACCAUUAAAUUUUUACAUGAUCUGAGUUCAGACCGGUGUAAGCCAGGUCGGUUUCUAUCUUUAUUUGAUGAAUAUAUUUUAGUACGAAAGGACCAAAUAUUAAAUAUAUUGAUAUUUAUUUUUUGAACAAUAUU